Molecule: ribosomal RNA, 253 nt
Filed under: uncultured bacterium
Lineage: Bacteria
Description: partial 16S ribosomal RNA
Rfam family: Bacterial small subunit ribosomal RNA
Source: RNAcentral
UACGUAGGGGGCUAGCGUUGUCCGGAAUUAUUGGGCGUAAAGAGCUCGUAGGCGGUUUGUCGCGUCUGCCGUGAAAGUCCGGGGCUCAACUCCGGAUCUGCGGUGGGUACGGGCAGACUAGAGUGAUGUAGGGGAGACUGGAAUUCCUGGUGUAGCGGUGAAAUGCGCAGAUAUCAGGAGGAACACCGGUGGCGAAGGCGGGUCUCUGGGCCGAUACUGACGCUGAGGAGCGAAAGCGUGGGGAGCGAACAGG